AAACAGCCCUCUAUGUUUUGAUUCUUUGGCAGUUUUGGACCCCCAAGGCAAAAAAAAUAAAAAAAAUAUUGACAUGUGGCACCUCACUUAGGGUGCCACAUCAGCGUUGAUCGAGUCAACAAUGGACUGGGGGUCCAAAACUGCCAAAGAAUCAAAACAUAAGGGGCUGUUU
Molecule: microRNA precursor, 172 nt
Organism: Medicago truncatula (barrel medic)
Lineage: Eukaryota; Viridiplantae; Streptophyta; Magnoliopsida; Fabales; Fabaceae
Rfam family: MIR2619 microRNA precursor family
Source: Rfam